AAAAGUAGCCAGUCUUUUGGGUAUGAAACCCAUUUGGGCGAGAGUAGUACUAGGAUGGGUGACCUCCUGGGAAGUCCUCGUGAAAGGGUUUC
Triticum aestivum (bread wheat) is the source of this 92-nucleotide non-coding RNA. The record is from Rfam. NCBI's taxonomy places the organism in Eukaryota, Viridiplantae, Streptophyta, Magnoliopsida, Poales, Poaceae.